This is a long non-coding RNA of Pezoporus occidentalis (night parrot), 1329 nucleotides long. RefSeq lists it as uncharacterized. The transcript has 3 exons. Lineage: Eukaryota; Metazoa; Chordata; Aves; Psittaciformes; Psittacidae. The record is from RefSeq and is a predicted model, not a curated record.
UAAAAGAUCCAAUUUCUAGCAAGUGCAGAUGGAAAUGCUAUUUGAGUUACUGUCAUGCCUCUGGUCCCACCAAAAGGAUGCAUCUGUGCUGAGCCAGAGCAAUCAAGGAGGGGUCAGAGGGAUGUCCUCCAGGAGACAUGGAUCUUCUGAAUCCAAGAAAGAGGUCGAACAACUCGUAGAGUGGGGCUUUGCAGGGCCUCUUGGUACACAGUGCUGACCAUCAGGGGUUCAGAACAUGAAGCACAGUCCUUGGUUCUGGAUGUUUUCUGAACCAUAGAGUAUAACCAUUUUCCCUCUGCGUAUCAAACCUUGGGCUCUGGCUUCAGGAAGAGGAUCAUCCCACAGGAUGACUGUGCAGUGUGUUCAUUCUGUAAUUGUACCUCCAAAUGAAAUGGAAGAGGGCCAAUGGUCUCUGAGCAGACCACUGUCGUUCCUCAUAGACCUGUACUUUCGCAGGGUGUCUUCAUGGCAGCAGCCUCUGCCUCCCAGGCAGCUGCAUUGUUCUCACUGGUCUGGUGCAAGCAGUUUCCAAUGAUCAGAACAUAAGGACAGUUUUCUCCUCAAUACCAGCUUUUUUCUUUUCCAGACUGUUUACUAAAAUGCUUGCUUUAAAUAUAUGUGUCCCUCCUUAAUUUAUUGAUCCACGGGAGAAAACUGCAUUGUGUCUGAAACAGUAAGGCAAUCUAAGGUGGGGGAUGAUCAAAUAAAUUAUAACGAGAGUGUCAGAGGCAUUCCAGAUCCCGCACCCUCUUCAGAUGUCAGUACACCACAAGAACCAAGCAGAAGCAGGAAGUGAGUGUUGAAAGCCCAUGUGAUGCUCUUGAAGGAGGAAUCAGAGGGAUUUCCUCCAGGGAACACAGAUCAUCUGAAUCCAAGGAAGCACCUGCAGCAGCUCUUCCCUGUCCUGCUGGACACAGAUUUUUAAUUUGGUCAAACCUAAAUUUCCAAGAUGAACUCAUCUAUUGCAACUAUCCACUUGCUGAGGCACUCUCCAUUUCCCAGAAUGUGUCCCAGACCUGGAACCAGUUCCAUUGCUGAGGCACCACAUUUCUCACCUGCUGAUUGCAAUUAGCCACUGCCAGCUGGGGCCUGGUGAGCUGCUGAAGAGCUAACAAGAAACAGCAUGAGGCCUCGGCAGUGUGUAUGCUCUGAAUGAACAAGGUGCUGAGUUCCUGAUGUGGCUCCACCACAAAACAAGGUGCCCACAUCCUCAUCUAUGUGUCAAAAUCUGCUUUUGGAGGCUCAGCUUGCUCCUCAAGCUCUUACACAUUACCAUCACAUGUUUGCCAGAGAGGAAAUGUGGGGAAAUAAAGGUUAUUACAGGUAAAA